GGAAAUGAGUGGAAAAAAGAGAUGCUUGCUAAGACACUAAGGUCUGUUGGGGUCAGAGGAUGGAACGGACUGAGUAAGAGAGUGGCAGACGGGACGAGUCGGGGGAAUGAUGGAGAAAAGGCGAGGAAGCAGUAAAGAGAGAGGAAAGCUGGAAGGAGGAGUGGAAGGAAAGAUCAAAUCAGGCAAUGCAGCAAAUGGCUUUGACAUCUGUAUUCCCACUUAGAGGACAGCCGAGCAGCAGAGAGGAGAUGAGAGUAGAGGCGAAACAGAACAAAGGAGAGAUUGGCAACGUAAAGCAUAAAACAACAAAGCGAACAGGCAGGAGAUCAGUUACAAAACAACCCCUUAAUACAGCCAAUGAGAAUCCCACCUCUCCCCAUCUGGUUGCAGGUGUGUGCGGAGUCAAGUUAAUGUGCUGGCAAAAUCAUUACAACAUUAUACAGUUAAAGUCCUCUGCAGUGGAAACAUCUUGACUGAAUCAUGACCAAAAAGGAAAGAAAAAAAAUCCAAAGCAG
Long non-coding RNA from Neolamprologus brichardi, 515 nucleotides. RefSeq lists it as uncharacterized. The record is from RefSeq and is a predicted model, not a curated record. NCBI's taxonomy places the organism in Eukaryota, Metazoa, Chordata, Actinopteri, Cichliformes, Cichlidae.